This 782-nucleotide ribosomal RNA is filed under the name uncultured bacterium. Its description in RNAcentral is "bacterial SSU rRNA". It matches the Rfam family "Bacterial small subunit ribosomal RNA", at positions 654 to 1451 of the family's 1533-position model. The record is from RNAcentral.
AGAGUGAGUGAUCGAUGUAGAGUGAAAUUGUAGAUAUUGAUCACACCAGUGGCGAAGGCGGCUCAUUGACCGUGUGACGCUGAGUACGAAAGCGUGGGAGCAAACAGGAUUAGAUACCUGGUAGUCCACGCCGUAAACGAUGAUAACUAGCUGUUGGGGCUCUUGGAGCAUCAGUGGCGCAGCUAACGCAUUAAGUUAUCCGCCUGGGGAGUACGGCCGCAAGGUUAAAACUCAAAGGAAUUGACGGGGGCCUGCACAAGCGGUGGAGCAUGUGGUUUAAUUCGAAGCAACGCGCAGAACCUUACCAGCGUUUGACAUGCCUGGACGGUUUCCAGAGAUGGAUUCCUUCUCGCAAGAGACUAGGACACAGGUGCUGCAUGGCUGUCGUCAGUUCGUGUCGUGAGAUGUUGGGUUAAGUCCCGCAACGAGCGCAACCCUCGCCUUUAGUUACCAUCAUUCAGUUGGGGACUCUAAAGGAACCGCCGGUGAUAAGCCGGAGGAAGGUGGGGAUGACGUCAAGUCCUCAUGGCCCUUACACGCUGGGCUACACACGUGCUACAAUGGCGGUGACAAUGGGCUGCAAACCCGCGAGGGUGAGCUAAUCUCAAAAAGCCGUCUCAGUUCGGAUUGUUCUCUGCAACUCGAGAGCAUGAAGGCGGAAUCGCUAGUAACCGCGGAUCAGCAUGCCGCGGUGAAUACGUUCCCAGGCCUUGUACACACCGCCCGUCACMCCAUGGGAGUUGGAUUGACCCGAAGGCAGUGGGCUAACCCGCAAGGAGGCA